GAUGAACGCUGGCGGCGUGCCUAAUACAUGCCAGUCGAACGAAACUUCUUUAUCACCGAGUGCUUGCACUCACCGAUAAAGAGUUGAGUGGCGAACGGGUGAGUAACACGUGGGCAACCUGCCCAAAAGAGGGGGAUAACACUUGGAAACAGGUGCUAAUACCGCAUAACCAUAGUUACCGCAUGGUAACUAUGUAAAAGGUGGCUAUACUACCGCUUUUGGAUGGGCCCGCGGCGCAUUAGCUAGUUGGUAGGGUAAAGGCUUACCAAGGCAAUGAUGCGUAGCCGAAUUGAGAGGUUGAUCGGCCACAUUGGGACUGAGACACGGCCCAAACUCCUACGGGAGGCAGCAGUAGGGAAUCUUCCACAAUGGGCGAAAGCCUGAUGGAGCAACGCCGCGUGGGUGAAGAAGGUCUUCGGAUCGUAAAACCCUGUUGUUAGAGAAGAAAGUGCGUGAGAGUAACUGUUCACGUUUCGACGGUAUCUAACCAGAAAGCCACUGCUAACUACGU
RNAcentral lists this ribosomal RNA (511 nucleotides) under uncultured bacterium. RNAcentral describes it as "partial 16S ribosomal RNA". It matches the Rfam family "Bacterial small subunit ribosomal RNA", at positions 28 to 506 of the family's 1533-position model. The record is from RNAcentral.